ACAGUAAAUGUACAAUAAGUGUUACAGUUUAACAAAAUAUGUGUGUGUUGGCGAUUGCAUAGUUGCUUUUUAUUACACAACUGUCAUUUUUCACUCCGUGAAUCAGAUAAUUUUGCUGAAAGCUUUUUUUAUUAGAACUCGGAAAGAUUGCAUUAGAUAAACAUUUUAUGUUUUACUUAUCCAGUGCGCGUAUCGCUUCAAAAAUAGGCAGGUAAAAGUUUCUUCCGGAAGUGUGGUAUAGCGUGAAUUUACGAUUUCACCGGCAGGCUGUGUGGUGUGAUGAAUUACAAGGAGUCUAGGAAACCGGCAAAACCUCCGAAAGGCGCUCAAGGAAGGGAAAAGAUGAAGCAGAUAUUGGCCGAAGCUGAAUUCAAUUUUUUGAUUAAUUCUAUGCUAUUUCAAGCGGGACUUAUUUUAUCCUUGCCCAGAAGUGAAAAAACAGAAACUACAGUGUAAUACACUCAUGCGUCCUUGAUUAUAACAAUAUAUGUUCGGUUCGAUGACAACAUUUUUUUAACGAUGUGCAUAUUUAUUUCUAUAAAAACGGAGAAAUGA
This is a long non-coding RNA of Aedes aegypti (yellow fever mosquito), 555 nucleotides long. RefSeq lists it as uncharacterized. NCBI's taxonomy places the organism in Eukaryota, Metazoa, Arthropoda, Insecta, Diptera, Culicidae. The transcript has 2 exons. The record is from RefSeq and is a predicted model, not a curated record.